RNAcentral lists this ribosomal RNA (446 nucleotides) under uncultured bacterium. RNAcentral's name for it is "bacterial SSU rRNA". It matches the Rfam family "Bacterial small subunit ribosomal RNA", at positions 329 to 792 of the family's 1533-position model. The record is from RNAcentral.
GCCCAGACUCCUACGAGAGGCAGCAGUGGGGAAUAUUGCACAAUGGGGGAAACCCUGAUGCAGCAACGCCGCGUGAGUGAAGAAGUAUUUCGGUAUGUAAAGCUCUAUCAGCAGGGAAGAGAAUGACGGUACCUGACUAAGAAGCCCCGGCUAACUACGUGCCAGCAGCCGCGGUAAUACGUAGGGGGCAAGCGUUAUCCGGAUUUACUGGGUGUAAAGGGAGCGUAGACGGCAGCGCAAGUCCGAAGUGAAAGCCCGGGGCCCAACCCCGGGACUGCUUUGGAAACUGUGAAGCUGGAGUGCGGGAGGGGCAGGCGGAAUUCCUGGUGUAGCGGUGAAAUGCGUAGAUAUCAGGAGGAACACCGGCGGCGAAGGCGGCCUGCUGGACCGUAACUGACGUUGAGGCUCGAAAGCGUGGGGAGCAAACAGGAUUAGAUACCCGAGUA